RNAcentral lists this ribosomal RNA (489 nucleotides) under Salmonella enterica. Its description in RNAcentral is "partial 23S ribosomal RNA". It matches the Rfam family "Bacterial large subunit ribosomal RNA", at positions 774 to 1260 of the family's 2925-position model. Lineage: Bacteria; Pseudomonadati; Pseudomonadota; Gammaproteobacteria; Enterobacterales; Enterobacteriaceae. RNAcentral also lists the same sequence under 1 other name. The record is from RNAcentral.
CCGAACCGACUAAUGUUGAAAAAUUAGCGGAUGACCUGUGGCUGGGGGUGAAAGGCCAAUCAAACCGGGAGAUAGCUGGUUCUCCCCGAAAGCUAUUUAGGUAGCGCCUCGUGAAUUCAUCUCCGGGGGUAGAGCACUGUUUCGGCUAGGGGGCCAUCCCGGCUUACCAACCCGAUGCAAACUGCGAAUACCGGAGAAUGUUAUCACGGGAGACACACGGCGGGUGCUAACGUCCGUCGUGAAGAGGGAAACAACCCAGACCGCCAGCUAAGGUCCCAAAGUCAUGGUUAAGUGGGAAACGAUGUGGGAAGGCCCAGACAGCCAGGAUGUUGGCUUAGAAGCAGCCAUCAUUUAAAGAAAGCGUAAUAGCUCACUGGUCGAGUCGGCCUGCGCGGAAGAUGUAACGGGGCUAAACCAUGCACCGAAGCUGCGGCAGCGACACUGUGUGUUGUUGGGUAGGGGAGCGUUCUGUAAGCCUGUGAAGGUGUG